GGUUGCAAUCGUCUUAUUAUUAAUUCUGAUAAUUUAGAGGUUAUUGAAACGAUGAAUAAUGACGGACGGUUAGCAGGAGCGGCGGCGGCAAUUUUUGAUGAUUGCUAUUUUUUGGCGUGUGAUUUUCAUAUCUCUAGGUUUGAACAUUAUAAUAGGGAAGCCAAUAAGGUUGCGCACGAGCUUGCUAGGUUGGCUAGAUUUUCUUCUACUGUUGAUUGGUUUGAGGAGCCUAUGAUUGAGAUUGUACCAUUCCUCGCAAACGAUGUAUCUGUUAUUUCAGUUGAAUAA
This 288-nucleotide ribosomal RNA is filed under the name Triticum aestivum (bread wheat). RNAcentral's name for it is "partial small subunit ribosomal RNA". The record is from RNAcentral. Lineage: Eukaryota; Viridiplantae; Streptophyta; Magnoliopsida; Poales; Poaceae.